RNAcentral lists this ribosomal RNA (250 nucleotides) under uncultured prokaryote. RNAcentral's name for it is "partial 16S ribosomal RNA". It matches the Rfam family "Bacterial small subunit ribosomal RNA", at positions 524 to 773 of the family's 1533-position model. The record is from RNAcentral.
UAAGUAGGUGACAAGCGUUGUUCGGAUUCAUUGGGCGUAAAGGGUCCGCAGGUGGUUUGAUAAGUCUGACGUGAAAUACCGGAGCUCAACUCCGGAAUUGCGUUGGAAACUGUUGAACUGGAGUACCGGAGAGGAAAUUGGAAUUUCAGGUGUAGCGGUGGAAUGCGUAGAUAUCUGAAAGAACAUCGAAAGCGAAGGCAGAUUUCUGGACGGUUACUGAAACUCAGGGACGAAAGAAUGGGGAGCAAAC